GACGAACGCUGGCGGCGUGCUUAACACAUGCAAGUCGAACGGAAAGGCCCUGCUUUUGCGGGGUGCUCGAGUGGCGAACGGGUGAGUAACACGUGAGUAACCUGCCCUUGACUUUGGGAUAACUUCAGGAAACUGGGGCUAAUACCGGAUAGGAGCUCCUGCUGCAUGGUGGGGGUUGGAAAGUUUCGGCGGUUGGGGAUGGACUCGCGGCUUAUCAGCUUGUUGGUGGGGUAGUGGCUUACCAAGGCUUUGACGGGUAGCCGGCCUGAGAGGGUGACCGGCCACAUUGGGACUGAGAUACGGACCAGACUCCUACGGGAGGCAGCAGUGGGAAAUAUUGCACAAUGGGCGGAAGCCUGAUGCAGCAACGCCGCGUGCGGGAUGACGGCCUUCGGGUUGUAAACCGCUUUCGCCUGUGACGAAGCGUGAGUGACGGUAAUGGGUAAAGAAGCACCGGCUAACUACGUG
Molecule: ribosomal RNA, 468 nt
Filed under: uncultured bacterium
Lineage: Bacteria
Description: partial 16S ribosomal RNA
Rfam family: Bacterial small subunit ribosomal RNA
Source: RNAcentral